RNAcentral lists this long non-coding RNA (388 nucleotides) under Numida meleagris (helmeted guineafowl). RNAcentral describes it as "lncRNA (ENSNMEG00000006567.1)". Lineage: Eukaryota; Metazoa; Chordata; Aves; Galliformes; Numididae. The record is from RNAcentral.
UACAGCCCUUCCAAUGGUGGUUGUCACCCGGUGUCACGAUGUCACUUGGAAGAGGUGUCACCCCCUGGCUCAAUGGAUGUCACCCGGUGGUGGGUGUCAGUCGCUGGCUCGAUGUCACCUGGCUGCUCGGUGUCACCUGCUGAUGGGUGUCACCCGGUGUCACGAUGUCACCCAGAAGCGGUGUCACCCCAUGGCUCAGUGGAUGUCACCCGGUGGCGGAUGUCAGUCGCUGGCUCGAUGUCACCUGGCUGCUCGAUGUCACCUGCUGAUGGGUGUCACCCGGUGUCACGAUGUCACCCACAGUCAGUUGUCUUCAGCCCUUCCGGUGGUGAAUGUCACCCGGUGGCACGAUGUCACCCGGAAGCGUUGUCACCCCAUGGCUCAAUGA